ACCUGGCUGGCUCAGCCAGAAGAGCAUGGGACUCUUGAUCUUGGGGUUAUGAGUUUGAGCCCCAUGUUGGGUC
This is a non-coding RNA of Felis catus (domestic cat), 73 nucleotides long. NCBI's taxonomy places the organism in Eukaryota, Metazoa, Chordata, Mammalia, Carnivora, Felidae. The record is from Rfam.